Molecule: ribosomal RNA, 253 nt
Filed under: uncultured bacterium
Lineage: Bacteria
Description: partial 16S ribosomal RNA
Rfam family: Bacterial small subunit ribosomal RNA
Source: RNAcentral
UACGAAGGGUGCAAACGUUGCUCGGAAUUAUUGGGCGUAAAGCGCACGUAGGCGGCCUUGCAAGUCGGAUGUGAAAUCUUAUGGCUUAACCAUAAAAGUGCAUCCGAAACUGCAGUGCUUGAGUACUUAAGAGGAUCGCGGAAUUCCCGGUGUAGAGGUGAAAUUCGUAGAUAUCGGGAGGAGCACCAGUGGCGAAGGCGGCGAUCUGGGAAGAUACUGACGCUGAGGUGCGAAAGCGUGGGGAGCAAACAGG